This 735-nucleotide ribosomal RNA is filed under the name Rhodococcus erythropolis. RNAcentral's name for it is "bacterial SSU rRNA". It matches the Rfam family "Bacterial small subunit ribosomal RNA", at positions 140 to 888 of the family's 1533-position model. Lineage: Bacteria; Bacillati; Actinomycetota; Actinomycetes; Mycobacteriales; Nocardiaceae. The record is from RNAcentral.
GGGAUAAGCCUGGGAAACUGGGUCUAAUACCGGAUAUGACCUCCUAUCGCAUGGUGGGUGGUGGAAAGAUUUAUCGGUGCAGGAUGGGCCCGCGGCCUAUCAGCUUGUUGGUGGGGUAAUGGCCUACCAAGGCGACGACGGGUAGCCGACCUGAGAGGGUGACCGGCCACACUGGGACUGAGACACGGCCCAGACUCCUACGGGAGGCAGCAGUGGGGAAUAUUGCACAAUGGGCGAAAGCCUGAUGCAGCGACGCCGCGUGAGGGAUGACGGCCUUCGGGUUGUAAACCUCUUUCAGCAGGGACGAAGCGCAAGUGACGGUACCUGCAGAAGAAGCACCGGCUAACUACGUGCCAGCAGCCGCGGUAAUACGUAGGGUGCAAGCGUUGUCCGGAAUUACUGGGCGUAAAGAGUUCGUAGGCGGUUUGUCGCGUCGUUUGUGAAAACCAGCAGCUCAACUGCUGGCUUGCAGGCGAUACGGGCAGACUUGAGUACUGCAGGGGAGACUGGAAUUCCUGGUGUAGCGGUGAAAUGCGCAGAUAUCAGGAGGAACACCGGUGGCGAAGGCGGGUCUCUGGGCAGUAACUGACGCUGAGGAACGAAAGCGUGGGUAGCGAACAGGAUUAGAUACCCUGGUAGUCCACGCCGUAAACGGUGGGCGCUAGGUGUGGGUUCCUUCCACGGAAUCCGUGCCGUAGCUAACGCAUUAAGCGCCCCGCCUGGGGAGUACGGCCG